UGCCACAUUAUUCUACCCUUCGAACAAAAAAUUUCUCUAACACCCCUGUAUAAGUUAAGUCAAUAUUCUACCUCUUACUCAAGGGCUUGAGCCAUAAAUCUUACAAACAUGCGUGUCGUCGGCUAGUGGGUGGAUUUGGCAUAGGGAAAAAUAACAUCUCAUUUGCCGCUAAUUCGUCUAACGGUGAUCAACUACAAAUGAAGGCUUCAGUGAGAUUCAAAUCACCGAAUUAAAUAACUAGCCAAUGAACAUUAAUACAUGGUGUAUUUUUCCGCAGUGUAUCGUUAAGUUGUUGUUAUAGAAUGAGUAGUAUCUGUAGAAUUUUUGUUUUAACAUCUUAAACAUACUACAAAUUGCUUUUGAACUGAUGAAGCUUUCGAAAUUGUAAAGCGAAACGUUUUCAAUAUAUCAAUGAAGUAGUUGA
This 424-nucleotide long non-coding RNA is filed under the name Diabrotica virgifera virgifera (western corn rootworm). RNAcentral's name for it is "uncharacterized LOC126892231". Lineage: Eukaryota; Metazoa; Arthropoda; Insecta; Coleoptera; Chrysomelidae. The record is from RNAcentral.